This is a long non-coding RNA of Sorex araneus (European shrew), 834 nucleotides long. RefSeq lists it as uncharacterized. NCBI's taxonomy places the organism in Eukaryota, Metazoa, Chordata, Mammalia, Eulipotyphla, Soricidae. The record is from RefSeq and is a predicted model, not a curated record. The transcript is spliced from 3 exons.
AGUGAGAAGCCCCAGAAGUGGAGAGUGGAAAUAAACAGUGGUCACAAGAAGGUGAAAACUGUGUGGCAGCUGAGUGACAGCCCGCCUGUGGACCAUCUGAACCCCCUCAGAGUCGAUUUUUCUGAGCUAACAUUCAAUCCUAGCCUGGAAGAAAAGACAUGCUUCACCACCAUGAUCACCUGCAGCUAAGUGCAUUUCAAGUGAAGUGUGCGGGGCUUGUUCAAGUAUCUGAUCCCUCUUCCUCCUCCCAAGAAAAAGCAGAAAGAAAAAAAUCACAGCAACUGAAAACAAAUGUACAUAAACAUUCACAGCAAAGAAGGAAAGUGGUGAUGAUUGUCCUCUAACAGCCGCCUCGAAAGCUGCCAAAUGACCGGCCUCAGCUGUGUAUCCGCAGGAGGAGCAUCAGGAGAGCUGCAGCGAGCAGGACACAGAGGGCGCAGACAGUCGGGACCAGGAUCUCAGUCACCAUCUGCAUGGGGCCCCACACAAUUACUGAAAGGGAAGAAGGCCAGAACGGAGCGUCACUGCAUUGCUUCAUCUGGCAAGCCCGACUGCCCGGGAAACUCAGAAGGCCACCCCUAAACUCUCCGCUUGGUCUUGUCUGCCAUGAAAGAGAACCUGAUGGAUUUAAUCUUACAAAAAGUUGUGUGAGGACUUUGUAAAACAUUUCUGGAAAUAAUGGGAUAAAGGAUGCCUGAACAGUUCUUCCUUUGAUACUGUGGUAUAAAGUCUAAUAUAUGCAGAUUAGCAUUUGUGUUGACUGUACAUUAUCACUGUCACUGUAUCACUGUCAUCCCAUUGCUCAUUGAUUUGCUCGAGGGGGCACCAGUAACA